Mycena metata is the source of this 106-nucleotide non-coding RNA. The record is from the annotation of a GenBank genome assembly. Lineage: Eukaryota; Fungi; Basidiomycota; Agaricomycetes; Agaricales; Mycenaceae.
GCGGACGUCGUGCGUGGUGCACCGCUGCUUCCUGUUACCAGCAUCAAUACAAAGAUCAUUAAGCAUCCCAGCAGUCGCCGAAUGGGUUCGACUCCCAGCGUCCGCA